Molecule: ribosomal RNA, 1578 nt
Filed under: Spilogale pygmaea
Lineage: Eukaryota; Metazoa; Chordata; Mammalia; Carnivora; Mephitidae
Description: 16S ribosomal RNA
Rfam family: Bacterial large subunit ribosomal RNA
Source: RNAcentral
ACUAAACCUAGCCCAAAACUUAAUCAAUAAAAUUACUACAUGACUAAUUAAUCAAAACAUUUAAUUAUAUAAUAAAGUAUAGGAGAUAGAAAUAUUAUUUGGAGCUAUAGAGAAAGUACCGCAAGGGAACGAUGAAAGAACAAUUCAAAGUACCAAAUAGCAAAGAUUAACCCUUCUACCUUUUGCAUAAUGAGCUAGCUAGAACAAUUUAACAAAGAGAACUUAAGCUAAACACCCCGAAACCAGACGAGCUACCUAUGAACAAUUUACCAGAAUGAACUCAUCUAUGUAGCAAAAUAGUGAGAAGAUUUAUAGGUAGAGGUGAAAAGCCUAACGAGCCUGGUGAUAGCUGGUUGCCCAGAAUAGAAUUUUAGUUCAACUUUAAAUUUACCAAAUAAACCUAUAAAUUUAAAUGUAAAUUUAAAAUAUAAUCUAAAAAGGUACAGCUUUUUAGAUAAAGGAUACAACCUUGCCUAGAGAGUAAAACAUAUUAAUAAACCAUAGUAGGCCUAAAAGCAGCCAUCAAUUAAGAAAGCGUUCAAGCUCAACAAUAAAAUCCUCACUAAUACCAAAAAUCUAUAUAAACUCCUAGUAUACUACUGGGCUAAUCUAUAUAAAUAUAGAAGCAACAAUGCUAGUAUGAGUAACAAGAAAUACUUCUCCUUGCAUAAGCUUAUAACAGUAACGGAUAACCACUGAUAGUUAACAACAAGAUAAAUAUAAUCCACUAAUAAAUUAAUCUUAUCAAACCAAUUGUUAGUCCAACACAGGAAUGCAACUCAAGGAAAGAUUAAAAGAAGUAAAAGGAACUCGGCAAACAUAAACCCCGCCUGUUUACCAAAAACAUCACCUCUAGCAUACUAAGUAUUGGAGGCACUGCCUGCCCAGUGACAUUAGUUAAACGGCCGCGGUAUUCUGACCGUGCAAAGGUAGCAUAAUCAUUUGUUCUCUAAAUAAGGACUCGUAUGAAUGGCCACACGAGGGUUUGACUGUCUCUUACUUCCAAUCAGUGAAAUUGACCUCCCCGUGAAGAGGCGGGGAUAAACUAAUAAGACGAGAAGACCCUAUGGAGCUUUAAUUAAUCAACUCAUAAUAAUAUUACAUAUAAAUCCAACAGGCAUAACAUUACAUUAUUAAUGAGUUAACAAUUUAGGUUGGGGUGACCUCGGAGCAAAAAACAACCUCCGAGAAAAAAAAUCAAGACUCACCAGUCAAAAUACUAUACUACUUAUUGAUCCAAAACAAUUUGAUCAACGGAACAAGUUACCCUAGGGAUAACAGCGCAAUCCUAUUUAAGAGUUCAUAUCGACAAUAGGGUUUACGACCUCGAUGUUGGAUCAGGACAUCCUAAUGGUGCAGCAGCUAUUAAAGGUUCGUUUGUUCAACGAUUAAAGUCCUACGUGAUCUGAGUUCAGACCGGAGUAAUCCAGGUCGGUUUCUAUCUAUUAACUAAUUUUUCCCAGUACGAAAGGACAAGAAAAAUAAGGCCAACUUUAACACGAAGCGCCUUUAGACUAACGGAUGAUAUAAUCUUAAUCCGACCAGUCUAUACCCAAUCCAACCCUAGAAAUAGGGUUU